RNAcentral lists this small nuclear RNA (132 nucleotides) under Mustela putorius furo (domestic ferret). Its description in RNAcentral is "U4 spliceosomal RNA". It matches the Rfam family "U4 spliceosomal RNA". From Rfam's summary of the family: U4 small nuclear RNA (U4 snRNA) is a component of the major U2-dependent spliceosome. The structure of U4 snRNA from yeast and human has been reported. U4 snRNA presents a k-turn RNA motif in the 5p-SL related to recognition of Snu13 protein. The record is from Rfam by way of RNAcentral. Lineage: Eukaryota; Metazoa; Chordata; Mammalia; Carnivora; Mustelidae.
AGCUUUGCACAGUGGCAGUAUCAUAGCCAAUGAGGUUUAUCUGAGGCGCAAUUAUUGCUAAUUGAAAAAUAAAAGUAUUCAUUUUCUGUGUGUAGUAUCUCAUGUAAUAUCUUAUGUUAUUGACAUCUGUUA